ACUUAUAUUCUGUAGCAAGGUUAACCGAAUAGGGGAGCCGGAGGGAAACCGAGUCUUAACCGGGCGUUAAGUUGCAGGGUAUAGACCCGAAACCCGGUGAUCUAGCCAUGGGCAGGUUGAAGGUUGGGUAACACUAACUGGAGGACCGAACCGACUAAUGUUGAAAAAUUAGCGGAUGACCUGUGGCUGGGGGUGAAAGGCCAAUCAAACCGGGAGAUAGCUGGUUCUCCCCGAAAGCUAUUUAGGUAGCGCCUCGUGAAUUCAUCUCCGGGGGUAGAGCACUGUUUCGGCUAGGGGGCCAUCCCGGCUUACCAACCCGAUGCAAACUGCGAAUACCGGAGAAUGUUAUCACGGGAGACACACGGCGGGUGCUAACGUCCGUCGUGAAGAGGGAAACAACCCAGACCGCCAGCUAAGGUCCCAAAGUCAUGGUUAAGUGGGAAACGAUGUGGGAAGGCCCAGACAGCCAGGAUGUUGGCUUAGAAGCAGCCAUCAUUUAAAGAAAGCGUAAUAGCUCACUGGUCGAGUCGGCCUGCGCGGAAGAUGUAACGGGGCUAAACCAUGCACCGAAGCUGCGGCAGCGACACUGUGUGUUGUUGGGUAGGGGAGCGUUCUGUAAGCCUGCGAAGGUGGCCUGUGAGGGUUGCUGGAGGUAUCAGAAGUGCGAAUGCUGACAUAAGUAACGAUAAAGCGGGUGAAAAGCCCGCUCGCCGGAAGACCAAGGGUUCCUGUCCAACGUUAAUCGGGGCAGGGUGAGUCGACCCCUAAGGCGAGGCCGAAAGGCGUAGUCGAUGGGAAACGGGUUAAUAUUCCCGUACUUGGUGUUACUGCGAAGGGGGGACGGAGAAGGCUAUGUUGGCCGGGCGACGGUUGUCCCGGUUUAAGCGUGUAGGUGUGUGUUCCAGGUAAAUCCGGUUCACUUUAACACUGAGGCGUGACGACGAGGCACUACGGUGCUGAAGCAACAAAUGCCCUGCUUCCAGGAAAAGCCUCUAAGCAUCAGGUAACAUCAAAUCGUACCCCAAACCGACACAGGUGGUCAGGUAGAGAAUACCAAGGCGCUUGAGAGAACUCGGGUGAAGGAACUAGGCAAAAUGGUGCCGUAACUUCGGGAGAAGGCACGCUGACACGUAGGUGAAGUGAUUUACUCAUGGAGCUGAAGUCAGUCGAAGAUACCAGCUGGCUGCAACUGUUUAUUAAAAACACAGCACUGUGCAAACACGAAAGUGGACGUAUACGGUGUGACGCCUGCCCGGUGCCGGAAGGUUAAUUGAUGGGGUCAGCGCAAGCGAAGCUCCUGAUCGAAGCCCCGGUAAACGGCGGCCGUAACUAUAACGGUCCUAAGGUAGCGAAAUUCCUUGUCGGGUAAGUUCCGACCUGCACGAAUGGCGUAAUGAUGGCCAGGCUGUCUCCACCCGAGACUCAGUGAAAUUGAACUCGCUGUGAAGAUGCAGUGUACCCGCGGCAAGACGGAAAGACCCCGUGAACCUUUACUAUAGCUUGACACUGAACAUUGAGCCUUGAUGUGUAGGAUAGGUGGGAGGCUUUGAAGUGUGGACGCCAGUCUGCAUGGAGCCGACCUUGAAAUACCACCCUUUAAUGUUUGAUGUUCUAACGUGGACCCGUUACCCGGGUUGCGGACAGUGUCUGGUGGGUAGUUUGACUGGGGCGGUCUCCUCCUAAAGAGUAACGGAGGAGCACGAAGGUUGGCUAAUCCUGGUCGGACAUCAGGAGGUUAGUGCAAUGGCAUAAGCCAGCUUGACUGCGAGCGUGACGGCGCGAGCAGGUGCGAAAGCAGGUCAUAGUGAUCCGGUGGUUCUGAAUGGAAGGGCCAUCGCUCAACGGAUAAAAGGUACUCCGGGGAUAACAGGCUGAUACCGCCCAAGAGUUCAUAUCGACGGCGGUGUUUGGCACCUCGAUGUCGGCUCAUCACAUCCUGGGGCUGAAGUAGGUCCCAAGGGUAUGGCUGUUCGCCAUUUAAAGUGGUACGCGAGCUGGGUUUAGAACGUCGUGAGACAGUUCGGUCCCUAUCUGCCGUGGGCGCUGGAGAACUGAGGGGGGCUGCUCCUAGUACGAGAGGACCGGAGUGGACGCAUCACUGGUGUUCGGGUUGUCAUGCCAAUGGCACUGCCCGGUAGCUAAAUGCGGAAGAGAUAAGUGCUGAAAGCAUCUAAGCACGAAACUUGCCCCGA
Molecule: ribosomal RNA, 2192 nt
Filed under: Salmonella enterica subsp. enterica serovar Crewe
Lineage: Bacteria; Pseudomonadati; Pseudomonadota; Gammaproteobacteria; Enterobacterales; Enterobacteriaceae
Description: partial 23S ribosomal RNA
Rfam family: Bacterial large subunit ribosomal RNA
Source: RNAcentral